GGUGUGUUUGAUCUGUUAAAAGGUAAGUACUGGACAGAACAGUACAAGACAGAACAGCACAACACAUGACAGAACAGCACAGAACAAAUUUUUGGGAUAUUGAACAUUUUUUUGUUUUAUACUAUAUUUGGUUAAUAAAAUGGUAUUUUGGUAUUUUAGACAACUUGUACUGCGGACAAAAAGUUGUGUUGUGGUUUAGUGAGGGACAAAAAAAUCUGUUUUGUCCUGUCCAUUGCCACCCAGUUUGUCCAGUUCCUGAAACAGUUUUAGAAUCAAACACAGUACAACUAGAGUUG
Molecule: long non-coding RNA, 296 nt
Filed under: Trifolium pratense (red clover)
Lineage: Eukaryota; Viridiplantae; Streptophyta; Magnoliopsida; Fabales; Fabaceae
Description: long non-coding RNA (TPRA_LNC002152)
Source: RNAcentral